UUACUUACCUGGACGGGGUCAAUGGGUGAUCAAUAAGGCUCAUGGCCUAGAUCAAUGGCUCACAUUGCACAUGGUUAUCUACCCUCUCCCAUUGAUGGGAGAGUGAAUGUCAUAAUUUGUGAUAGAAGGUUAGGCGUCCGCACGGCUCCUA
Molecule: small nuclear RNA, 151 nt
Filed under: Triticum aestivum (bread wheat)
Lineage: Eukaryota; Viridiplantae; Streptophyta; Magnoliopsida; Poales; Poaceae
Description: U1 spliceosomal RNA
Rfam family: U1 spliceosomal RNA
About the family: U1 is a small nuclear RNA (snRNA) component of the spliceosome (involved in pre-mRNA splicing).
Source: Rfam by way of RNAcentral